GACGAACGCUGGCGGCGUGCCUAAUACAUGCAAGUGGGACGCAAGGAAACACACCGUGCUUGCACACCGUGUUUUCUUGAGUCGCGAACGGGUGAGUAACGCGUAGGUAACCUGCCUAUUAGCGGGGGAUAACUAUUGGAAACGAUAGCUAAUACCGCAUAAUAUUAAUUAUUGCAUGAUAAUUGAUUGAAAGAUGCAAGCGCAUCACUAGUAGAUGGACCUGCGUUGUAUUAGCUAGUUGGUAAGGUAAGAGCUUACCAAGGCGACGAUACAUAGCCGACCUGAGAGGGCGAUCGGCCACACUGGGACUGAGACACGGCCCAGACUCCUACGGGAGGCAGCAGUAGGGAAUCUUCGGCAAUGGACGAAAGUCCGACCGAGCAACGCCGCGUGAGUGAAGAAGGUUUUCGGAUCGUAAAGCUCUGUUGUAAGUCAAGAACGUGUGUGAGAGUGGAAAGUUCACACAGUGACGGUAG
This 476-nucleotide ribosomal RNA is filed under the name Streptococcus mutans. RNAcentral describes it as "bacterial SSU rRNA". It matches the Rfam family "Bacterial small subunit ribosomal RNA", at positions 28 to 478 of the family's 1533-position model. The record is from RNAcentral. Lineage: Bacteria; Bacillati; Bacillota; Bacilli; Lactobacillales; Streptococcaceae.